CCCCGUGUGCCGCCGCCGGGCCUGGCCGCGCGGGGUGCGCGGACUCUGCGGGGCUCCGCGACCCCCGCGCCCGCCACUUCUGCUCGCCCUGGGAGAGCCCGGCCGCCGGUGGGUCCUGCCCGGCAGCCGAGGCUGGGCGUGAUGGUGCAGGAACGGGACUGGCGUGCAGAGCUCUGGAGCUGGUGGAGAAAGGCAGCGGGCGCAGAAGAUCACCUCGUGUGGCGUUGUUAGUGAGGAGGCGGUGUCUCCGGGGAGAAAGGCGAAAGCGUUCGGUCACCACGGUGUGACAGUCAUCGGUAAAACUGCAUUUUCCGACGGGAAUGGGAAAGUUUGGUGGUCAUCCCAGAUACCUAGGAGACUGCUUAAACCUGUGGAAUGAUGCUUGUGUUCUUUUACACUGCAGGACUCUAUAUGAUAAGCAUAAAUAAGUGGAAGAUGAAGACUUCUUAUGGACUGGUCUUGUACUUGAAAUUAAUUUCGCUAGCAAUGAAAACCAUAAAAAUUUUUUUCCAGUGAAAACUGUAUUUUCUGAAUUUUCAAUUUUUCUUUGCCUGUAGCCAUAUUUUAUUAAUGUCACUUCUCCUCCCCCUUCCCCUUCCCCAGUUCUGUACACUUUAAAGGAUAUUGUUUUAGUUAAAUAUUUCCACCAAAUGUCUCAUUCUAUAGGAUUGAAAAAUACAGUUUUCUAAAUACACAGUAAAUACUGUGAAAUUGUGCAUUUCA
Corvus hawaiiensis (hawaiian crow) is the source of this 723-nucleotide long non-coding RNA. RefSeq lists it as uncharacterized. Lineage: Eukaryota; Metazoa; Chordata; Aves; Passeriformes; Corvidae. The record is from RefSeq and is a predicted model, not a curated record. The transcript is spliced from 2 exons.